ACAACUUUCGACAACGGAUCUCUUGGCUCUCGCAUCGAUGAAGAACGCAGCGAAAUGCGAUACGUAAUGUGAAUUGCAGAAUUCAGUGAAUCAUCGAAUCUUUGAACGCACCUUGCGCCCCUUGGCAUUCCGAGGGGCACACCCGUUUGAGCGUCGUGA
This 159-nucleotide ribosomal RNA is filed under the name Russula sp. BB2004-269. RNAcentral's name for it is "5.8S ribosomal RNA". It matches the Rfam family "5.8S ribosomal RNA". Rfam says of the family: 5.8S ribosomal RNA (5.8S rRNA) is a component of the large subunit of the eukaryotic ribosome. It is transcribed by RNA polymerase I as part of the 45S precursor that also contains 18S and 28S rRNA. Lineage: Eukaryota; Fungi; Basidiomycota; Agaricomycetes; Russulales; Russulaceae. The record is from RNAcentral.